Acetivibrio ethanolgignens is the source of this 212-nucleotide non-coding RNA. The record is from Rfam. Lineage: Bacteria; Bacillati; Bacillota; Clostridia; Acetivibrionales; Acetivibrionaceae.
GAGAACUGAUAUUCCGAUGGGUGAAAUGAGGGGGUAACGUCCCGAAGCGCCACCCUAAUACUCCGAAUGGCGGGGAGCAUGCAACGGCUCUCUCCAAAAGUUUAUAGAGCUCGGUGAAGUCGGCAGAGAGCAACCGUAAGACUGGUUUUCAGACCAGACACGAAAGCUGUCCAGAGGUGGAUGGUGUUGCCUAUAUGCCGGGGGUCGGAUAU